RNAcentral lists this ribosomal RNA (253 nucleotides) under uncultured bacterium. Its description in RNAcentral is "partial 16S ribosomal RNA". It matches the Rfam family "Bacterial small subunit ribosomal RNA", at positions 524 to 776 of the family's 1533-position model. The record is from RNAcentral.
GACAGAGGGUGCAAACGUUGUUCGGAAUUACUGGGCGUAAAGCGCGUGUAGGCGGCUAAGUAAGUCGGGCGUGAAAUCCCACGGCUCAACCGUGGAAGUGCACUCGAAACUGCAUAGCUAGAGUCCUGGAGAGGGAGGUGGAAUUCCGCAUGUAGUGGUGAAAUGCGUAGAUAUGCGGAGGAACACCAGUGGCGAAGGCGGCCUCCUGGCACACUCCUGACACUCAUACACGAAAGCUAGGGGAGCGAACGGG